RNAcentral lists this ribosomal RNA (519 nucleotides) under uncultured bacterium. RNAcentral's name for it is "bacterial SSU rRNA". It matches the Rfam family "Bacterial small subunit ribosomal RNA", at positions 777 to 1290 of the family's 1533-position model. The record is from RNAcentral.
AAUAGAUACCCUGGUAGUCCUAGCUGUAAACGAUGAGCACUAGAUCGUAGGUCUGCACAGACUUAUGGUCGUAGCGAAAGUGUUAAGUGCUCCGCCUGGGGAGUAUGGUCGCAAGGCUGAAACUCAAAGAAAUUGACGGGGGCUCACACAAGCGGUGGAGGAUGUGGCUUAAUUCGAGGCUACGCGAAGAACCUUAUCCUGGUCUUGACAUGUUUUAGAACUCUCCUGAAAGGGAGAGGUGCCCGCAAGGGAGCUAUUGCACAGGUGCUGCAUGGCUGUCGUCAGCUCGUGUCGUGGGAUGUCGGGUUAGGUCCCUUAACGAGCGAAACCCUUGUCACUAGUUGCCAGCGAGUAAAGUCGGGGACUCUAGUGAGACUGCCGGUGUUAAACCGGAGGAAGGUGGGGAUGACGUCAAGUCCUCAUGGCCCUUAUGACCAGGGCUGCACACGUCCUACAAUGGCGCGUACAAAGCGAUGCAAACUCGUGAGAGCCAGCAAAAUCCGCACAAAGCGCGCCUCG